Molecule: ribosomal RNA, 969 nt
Filed under: uncultured bacterium
Lineage: Bacteria
Description: bacterial SSU rRNA
Rfam family: Bacterial small subunit ribosomal RNA
Source: RNAcentral
GGGGCGGUUUCCGGAUUAUUGGGCGUAAGAGCUCGUAGGCGGUUUGUCGCGUCUGCCGUGAAAGUCCGGGGCUCAACUCCGGAUCUGCGGUGGGUACGGGCAGACUAGAGUGAUGUAGGGGAGACUGGAAUUCCUGGUGUAGCGGUGAAAUGCGCAGAUAUCAGGAGGAACACCGAUGGCGAAGGCAGGUCUCUGGGCAUUAACUGACGCUGAGGAGCGAAAGCAUGGGGAGCGAACAGGAUUAGAUACCCUGGUAGUCCAUGCCGUAAACGUUGGGCACUAGGUGUGGGGGACAUUCCACGUUUUCCGCGCCGUAGCUAACGCAUUAAGUGCCCCGCCUGGGGAGUACGGCCGCAAGGCUAAAACUCAAAGGAAUUGACGGGGGCCCGCACAAGCGGCGGAGCAUGCGGAUUAAUUCGAUGCAACGCGAAGAACCUUACCAAGGCUUGACAUGGGCCGGACCGGGCUGGAAACAGUCCUUCCCCUUUGGGGCCGGUUCACAGGUGGUGCAUGGUUGUCGUCAGCUCGUGUCGUGAGAUGUUGGGUUAAGUCCCGCAACGAGCGCAACCCUCGUUCCAUGUUGCCAGCGCGUAAUGGCGGGGACUCAUGGGAGACUGCCGGGGUCAACUCGGAGGAAGGUGGGGACGACGUCAAAUCAUCAUGCCCCUUAUGUCUUGGGCUUCACGCAUGCUACAAUGGCCGGUACAAAGGGUUGCGAUACUGUGAGGUGGAGCUAAUCCCAAAAAGCCGGUCUCAGUUCGGAUUGGGGUCUGCAACUCGACCCCAUGAAGUCGGAGUCGCUAGUAAUCGCAGAUCAGCAACGCUGCGGUGAAUACGUUCCCGGGCCUUGUACACACCGCCCGUCAAGUCACGAAAGUUGGUAACACCCGAAGCCGGUGGCCUAACCCCUUGUGGGAGGGAGCUGUCGAAGUGGGACUGGCGAUUGGGACUAAGUCGUAACAAGGUAAC